Molecule: long non-coding RNA, 823 nt
Organism: Gorilla gorilla gorilla (western lowland gorilla)
Lineage: Eukaryota; Metazoa; Chordata; Mammalia; Primates; Hominidae
Exons: 2
Source: RefSeq, a predicted model, not a curated record
UCCACCUCUUAGAUCUCUCUGUCUGCGGAAGCCAGCCACCGCUCUCCAAGGACUCUCAAGCAGCUCCAUCUACAGAUUCACAUGGAGAAGAAUUAAGGGUUCCUGCCCAUCACCAGCACCACUUUGCCAGCCUUGUUCCUUAGAUCCUGGGAUGAGGAGGUGGACCAGCAGAAGGUGGGCUUGGGAAGGCAGCCCGGGGUCCAAAUCCUCCUGGCUCUUCAGCUUAGUGGGUUAGUUAACAUUCAGAAGCCUUCAUCUCCCAUCUGCAAAAUGGGCAUGUCCAACUUAGAAGCUGCCUUGAAGAAAGGGUGUACCCAGCAUGGUGCGUGGAGCCUAAGCAAUCAGUACUUCAGGACUUCACCCGGCCCCUUUCCAAUAACUGCUGCUGUCGCCCUCACAGGAUGUCACCUUCAGUGUCUGAAAGCUGGGUUUGAUGCGUCUGGAAAGGCACCCCUGACAGGCGUCAUUGCCAGGAGCCCCUAAUGCCACCAGCAGCCAGCAGGGGACGGCGUCCUCUGCUCGCUCACUUCUGACCCUUCUCUCGUUGCACCUGGAAUAUGGUGCAGCUGGGAGCAGCCUGGGCUGCGGGGAAGGCUCAGAUUUGGGGACGGCCCUUGCCAGUGACUGUGACCUGGGGUGUCUUGGAAACUCCCAGUCUCAGCUUCUCCAUUUAUAAGAUGAGAAUGAUCAUACCAGCCUCAGGCAAGGUUGUUUGUGCAUUAGUGAAAUCAGACGUAUUAAAUAAAGUACCACAUUGAUCGUGGAGUUGUUGAAUAACCAAGAACACACCUAUCUGUCUCCAAAAAAUAAAUGUUGAAAAGGA